RNAcentral lists this ribosomal RNA (207 nucleotides) under uncultured bacterium. RNAcentral describes it as "partial 16S ribosomal RNA". It matches the Rfam family "Bacterial small subunit ribosomal RNA", at positions 568 to 774 of the family's 1533-position model. The record is from RNAcentral.
AGCGUAGGCGGUCCUGCAAGUCUGAUGUGAAAGGCCGGGGCUCAACCCAGGGACUGCAUUGGAAACUGUAGGACUAGAGUGUCGGAGGGGUAAGUGGAAUUCCUAGUGUAGCGGUGAAAUGCGUAGAUAUUAGGAGGAACACCAGUGGCGAAGGCGGCUUACUGGACGACUACUGACGCUGAGGCUCGAAAGCGUGGGGAGCAAACA